UAAUACGUAGGGGGCGAGCGUUGUCCGGAGUUACUGGGCGUAAAGCGCAUGCAGGCGGUUCUCUACGUUCUUGGGAACAGCUCCCGGCUCAACUGGGAGAGACUCUGGAAAACGGGAGGACUUGAGGGCUCAAGAGGGACAUGGAAUUCCGGGUGUAGUGGUGAAAUGCGUAGAUAUCCGGAGGAACACCAAAGGCGAAGGCAGUGUCCUGGGGAGCACCUGACGCUCAGAUGCGAAAGCCAGGGGAGCGAACGGG
RNAcentral lists this ribosomal RNA (256 nucleotides) under uncultured archaeon. RNAcentral's name for it is "partial 16S ribosomal RNA". It matches the Rfam family "Bacterial small subunit ribosomal RNA", at positions 521 to 776 of the family's 1533-position model. The record is from RNAcentral.